Ictalurus punctatus (channel catfish) is the source of this 12027-nucleotide long non-coding RNA. Lineage: Eukaryota; Metazoa; Chordata; Actinopteri; Siluriformes; Ictaluridae. The record is from Ensembl.
GUUCGCCCCACUGCUGAAUCUCAACUAUUUCAUCUGGCAACCCGGAUGUGGGCCGGACGUGCGCGCGCGCUGAGUCUCUCAGUGCGAGUGAGUGAGUGAUACAGCAGGCACGCGCACAGAGCCGCGGGGUUUGGAUCCCACAAUGAACCGGGAAUUAAACCGGAAUGAAAUAAACCUGUUCGGGGAAGAAUGAACGCGUUAAAGCUGUAAGAUGGAGGAAGCAGAUCUGGAGUCUUACCUCAGCGCCAAGUUUCAUCUCUCAGCCUGUAUUUUCUGCUGGGCGCUGCUCAAAAUCUGCCAGAGGAGAUUACGCGCGUCUCCGGUCGUCUCGCAGACUCCAGCUGUCGAGGACUUCGCUACACAUGCUGCUCAUCCAGAAGAUGUCGACUCUCUCCAGGAGAAGAGCGCAGAAAGUCGAGAUGUUUGGAGAGAAUCAGCACUGGAAGAAGCUCAGGACAUGACUGAGGAGUAUUUUGAGACGUGCUCGUGGCACGGCGACGCUUCCUCGGAUUAUAUUGGAGAUCACGUGAACUUCUCUUCUCCUAAACGCUCCCCUGGCCUCAGAAAGCAGGACUCAGAAGGUCAGCAUGCGGUAGUUGGUGGUCCACAGCGGAACACGGAUGGAGAGGAACUCACGGUAGCAUUGGGAAGCGAGUGCAGCUUCCCAGACUCGGAUUCAGGAUGUGCAGUUCUCGAGGAAGCUGGACUUCCCUUUCUCUCACAUACCAGCGUGUUGGAUGCACCAAAAGACUCCGAUUCACAACUUUUUACAACUGGUGAGGAACUCCUGGUACAGGUGGAGGACAGCUGCGAUGCAGUGAUUUUGGAGGAUUCAGGGUGUGAUGAAGCUGCAAAUCAGUCACCAUCUGAGGAAGCUGGACUUCCUUCCAUCCUGCAGUCCAGCACAGCAGCAGAAGACUUAACUGGUUCGGAUUUAGUUGUUGCAAGCAGAGAUCUUGUGGAUGUUUCUUCUUCUAAAUGCCUCCGAAAGCUGGACUCUUCUUAUUCAGAAAGAAUGGAUGAUGUUCUCGAGAUAAACACUGGUGAAGAGCAACUCCUGGCACUAUUAUCCAGUGAGUCCAGUGUAAUGAUUUCAGAUCAUUCAGGGCAUCGUUCAUCUCUUGAGAUCGUGUCGGAGGAAGCUGGACUUCCUUCCAUUUCUCAGGCUACGUCUGAAGAAACCCUUACGCUGACUGACAGAAGUGAAGCAGCGCCGCGGUUAGAACAAACUCCUGAUUUAAGCACAGAUCAUAGGAAAUGUUCUUCUCCUAGAAGCUCUCCUGACCUCAGAAAUCUUCAUUCAGGGUGUGAUGAAGUUCUAAAUGGUUCAUCCGUUGAGGAAGCUGGACUUCCUUUCAUCUCUCAGGCUAGUGUCUCUGUCCCAAAUUUGACGGAUUCACAACUUUUCACAAUUCCUCAAGAGAAACCUGAUCUGAUCUACAGAAGUACAUCAGAACCAGAGUUAAACAGCACUUCAGAUUUCACUGUUACAAGCAAUCACAGAGAUCAUGGGAUCUUUCCUUCUCCUAAAAGCUCUCCUGACCUCAGGAAUCUGGACUCUUCUCAUUCAGAAGGGAAGAACAGUGGUCUGGAGAUGAACACGGAUGGAGAGCAACUCCUGGAACCAUUGACAAGGGAGUGCAGGGUGAUCAUUCUCGAUCAUAAUGCUGCUGAUGUUUCAGCUGUUAGGAUUUUCUCCAAGGAAGCUGGGCUACCUUCCAUCUCUGAGGUUUGCGUAUCCGACCCGGAUGUGAUCGAUUCACAACUUUUUCCAACUUCCGUAGAGACACCUGUAGAGCUCACCUGUAGAAGUGAAGAAGCUCGUCAGUUAGAAAACACUUCAAAUUUAGUUGUUGCAAGCAACGAUCAAGUGGAUUGUUCUCCUAAACGUUCUCCUGACCUCAGAGACCUGGAAAACCUGGAGUCAUCUCAUUCAGAAAUAAAGAAUGAUGGUCAGCAGAUGAACGCUGAUGAAGUGCAACACAAAGUACCACUGGAAAAUAGUGCAGUAGUGGUCAGUGCAGUGAUUUUAGAUGAUUCAGAUGAUGAAGCUGCAAACUGGUCAUUUCUUGAGGAAGCUGGACUUCCUUCCAUCUUGCACACCAACACUGCAUCAAAAGACUUGACGGAUUCAGAACUUUUUACAACUGAAGAUACACUUACAUCUACUGACCAAACUGACACAGUGCUCCAGUUAGACAACGCAUCAGAAUCAGACGCCCCAAGCAGAGAUCUUGUAGAAUGUUCUUCUCCUGACCACAAACAUCUGGACUUAGUUCAUUUAGAAAUCAAGAAUGAUGGCGUUCAAUUAAAAACAGUCACAGAAGAACUUGUAGUACCUUUGACAGGAAACUACAGUGCAGUGAUUUUAGAUUCUUUAUCCUGUGACGAAAUUGUGGAUCCAUCAUCGUUUGAGACCUUGUCCAAGGAAGCUGGACUUCCCUUCAUCUCCCAGGCCAGCACGUCUGACACAGCUUUGAUUACUGACCAAACUGAAGCUGUGGCCCAGUUAGACAGACCUAGUUCCGAUCUAGACUUUGCACGUGAAGAUCAAUUUGAUUUCCCUUCUCCUAAAAGCUCUCCUGACCUCAGGGAUCUGGACUCUUCUCCUUCAGAAAGGAAGAACAGUGGUCUGGAGAUGAACACGGAUGGAGAGCAACUCAUGGUACCACUGGCUAAUGACUGCAGUGUAGUAACUGCAGAUGAUCUGGAGAAUGCAGAAAUUGUUAAUCGGUUAUCUUCUGAGGAAGCUGGACUUCCUUCCAUCUGUCAAGCUAGCGUGUCUGACACAGACUCAAUCGAUUCACAAAGUUUUACAGCUUCUACGUGCACACUAACCCUCACUGACCGAAGUGAAGCAGAACCCCAAUUAGAAACCUCUUCUGAUUUAGACCAUGUGGACUUUUCUUCUUCUGAACACUUUACUGACCUCAGAAACCUGGACUCUGCUCAUUCAGAAAGAAAGAAUGAUGGCCUGGAGGUGAAUGCGGAGGGAGAGGAACUCUCAGUACCUCUGGUAGGUGGCUGCAAUGCAUUUAAUUUAGAUGUCUCAAGGUGUGAUGAAGUUUUAAAAGGUUCAUCUCUUGAGGAAGCUGGAUUUUCAUCUGUCUCACAAGCUAGUGUAUCUCAUACAACAUCAAAAAACCUGACUUCUGAGGAGAUCCCUACAAUGAGAGACAAAAUUAAGGCCGAAUCCCAGUUAGACAGCACUUUUCAUUUAGAUGGUUCGAGAACAGAUCAUGGGAGCAUACCUUCUCCUACAAGCUCUCCUGAAAUCAGAAAUCUGGACUCGUCUUAUUCUGAAAGAAAGGGAACUGAUAAAGAGGAACUCGUGGUACCAUUAGCAAGUGAAUGCAAUGGAGAAGAUGAUGUUGAGAAUGCAGAAAUUGAUCAUUGUUUAUCUCCUGAGGAAACUGGACUUCCUUCACAGAAUGAAGGUCUGGAGAAGAACAAGGAUGGAGAGGAACUCAUUGUACUCUUGGACCCCAAUGCAGUGAUUUUAGGUGAUCCAGGGCAGGAUGAAGUUCUAAAUGGUCCAUCUCCUGAGGUAGCUGAACUUCUUUCCAUCUCUCAGGAUGGCACGUACAACACAGAUUCGAUCAGUUCACACCUUUUUACAUCUUGUAAACACACCCUUGCACCACCAGAUGGAAGUGAAGCAGAGCCUUCUUUAGAGAACGCAUCUGAUUUAACUGGUGCAAGUAGAAAUGAAGAAGAAUCAGAUAAUGUAAAUAAAAUGGAGAAUCUCACUGUUCCUGAAUUAUCACAGAUAAUUUUAAGCACAAAUAUGGUAGAACAUCUGGGACAGAUUGAUGAAGCUAGGGUCAAACCUUCAGAGGUAAAUAGUAACAUAUUUGUGGAUCUAUCAGUAGAUGCGAAGAUGUUCGUAGAUCCAUUAAUGGGUGGAUGUCCUUGUGUUCAGUCUUCUGUCAGCUCUAGUCUUCAGUCUGAAGGUGUAACAUCACUCCAAAAGGAUCAGAGACACUUUUCCAAUCCAAACAUCAACAAGGAGAACUUAUUCGAAAGUUCUCCGUCUAUUAAAGACAGUGAUGAUUAUUCAGCAGAGGAAGAUUCCUCGAGUCCGUCGUGUGCUAACGGUUUUAUUCCAGAGCUUCACGUUCCAAUGAAUGAUGAACAAACUUUGGAUUUGGACAAUGAUCAAACUGAAAGGCGGUCUAAAAAUGUAGAUGAUUUGAUAAAUGUGCCGUUUCUGAACACUUUCAGUGUGAAGGAAUUCACGGUCAUACCCCAGAAAGAGCAGGAGGUCAUUUAUUCAGAUAACUCGGGUUAUAUCGACUCUUAUGUGAUGCCAUCUUCAGCUGGUAAAGAAUCACAACGUGUUCCCUUCGAUUGUGUUCGAGGAGAUGUUGUAGACAGCUAUGUAGGACAACUACCAGGUCCAGUUGAGGUUUUAUUCAAGGAAUCGACUCCUUUAGGUUCUCUUAACAUCACCAAAUUCACUAAACAGGUCCUGCAAGGAGACCAGGCUACGUCUGAGAAGGUCUGUGCGAAGGAGCAUGAAGCUAGUAUUUCAUAUGAUGAUUAUUGUAUGCAGGAAACAUCUGGCUUAAAAGCCUCACUGCAUUUUGAUGGUUCACAUCAUGGUUCAGACACAAACAAUAACACGAAGCAGCACACACCUGAGACACCUUGCACUUUACAUGCUCCUACACUAGAACAGGAACUCUGGAAUCAUGUGCAUCCAUCCAUGCAAGAUGGUCCCUCGAACGUCUUCUCAAAUUUAUCAAACAAUUCUGCCGGCUUCUUUGAGAUCUCUGAACGAGUCAUGAUGGAUUACAAAAGGGAUCAUUCAAAUCCACUUGAUGUAGAAGAUGCUUCUCAGGGGAAGAUGUAUGGUAAAGAGUGCCAGUUGGGGGAACACCAGGACAUCAUGGCAGAUCCUACUGUCCGUCCAGUCGCGGAUGCUCACCGUGGACUGAUUCAUUCCAGUUGUCAGAGCUCUGAGUUUUCAUACGCUCUUUCUAUAAAUGGACCUACAUGUCAGAAGAUCCUCCGAGAGCAAAGCCUAAUGCCUCACUCUGCCUCAAUCAGUGUUACCAGUGGAUCAGGAACUUAUGAAUCCGAAGCAGCACCUUUUUGUCCAGAUUCACUUCAGAUCCAGAGUUACCCUUCUAUAGAUGUUAGCACUGGCCUAGUAUCAGAUUUGGAGCCCAUUAUGGAGUCGGAGCACCCUCAGGAGAUCUCAGAGAGUUUGAAUGGAGAACUGAAGGAUCUUGUAUCAUCUGCGAAUGAGGACGAAUGCACCCCUUUACAAAGGGAUGAAAAUGAUGCGCUAUACAAUGUCGGGUCUAUGAGAGGAUUUUCUGAUAAACCAGAAGAUGUAGACACCACCUCUUGUCUGACAAACGAGUGUGAUGCUAAUGAUGAUGAUGAUGAUGAUGAUAUUCCCAAUUCCGCAUCUCCAGAUCAAGACUUUAUUACAACAAACAGUGAAGAAGUUGAAGAUCCCAGUCACGGCACAACAGGAAGCAACUCGAACUCCACUGGCAGCAGCCAGAGCUUAUUAAAGAACAAGGAGACCAAGAGCAUGUCUGCAGGGAAAAGCUCAAAGUUCUCCAGGUUCACAAGAAUCCCCUCCUUCCGCAAAAGCAAGAGAGAGAUCAAGGUUGGAAGCAAGGUUGAACCUGAGAGCAAAAUAUCUCCUGAGGUUGGAGAGGAGAGAAAUCAGACACCUAGUCAUAAUCCUACUGUAGAUCACUCGACAAAAUACGAGGAUCAAUCUAGUGAUGUGGUCUUGGGGAAAGCCCUUGGUGUAACCUGGAAUGAACAAUCCAAAUCCACGUCCAGCUCCAAGAAUACACAACAACAUGACAGUUACAGUGAGCGAGGGCAAACGAAACCUGUUCUUGAUCCCCAGAAGAAAAGCAAGAGCAGUGAUAACUUCCGCAUGAAGCUCGCACUGGCUCAGAAGUCUCUGUCGAGCUUGUUCGAGAUCCGAACUGCUGAAAAAGACCACCAACAGGAUCCCAGCGUUCUGAACCAGGAUACAAAAUCCAAGCAACCUUGGGUGAAGAGAAAAAUGUCUAAGGAUUCUGAGAUGCUAAAGAGAACUCUCUCUCUUCCUGGACCAAGUGGUGCCAAGUCUAGAUGUCGCCACCUGAGUGACUUAGUGUCUGGGUUAACCGAGGAUCGUCCGGAUCUUCAGGGAUUCCAGAGCUCCAAGGGGGAUUUUAAAAGCACAUCACACUCUGAAGCAUCAGUGUCUGGACCUAAGGCGGAGCCUGUUGAGAGGAAUACACUAUCUAAUGGCUUAGCUAAAAACUUUGAGGCUGUCCACAGUCAUGAGAACAUCUCGGAGAAACCCAUGCACCCUAGUGUUUUUGCUCUAACAAAUCAGCUAUCUCCAUCCUGGACAAGAUCCCUGGGUUCCUUUGAAGGACUUGAUACACCAACUAAGCCAAUGACUCCCAAACCACAAAAUCCUGGGGUUUGGGGCCAGAGGAGCAGCCUCCGCAACCCCUCAAAAUCCGUUGCCACCUCCCUGUGUUCUCUUGGUGAGGGUCCGAGUUUGGAGGGACUGUCAGAUCGUUCAGAAAGGCGAGUUGGGCAAAGAGCAACACGACUUGCGUCGGCUCAGUCCUUUGAGUCGGAGUACUUACUCGAAGACAUCAACUCGGACAACCGAUCUCAAACCAGCCUGGUGUCCACCAACUCCGCCACGCAGUCUGAGGAUGGUGGUACAUCAUCUCUCCAGUCAUCUUCGUCCGUGCUCCGUGUCAGAAGACGCGAUCGGCGUGUGGUCCGACCCAGACCGGUCUCUGACCUCUGCAGCUGGACUUUACCUCUGCGGGAAAUCGGAGAGACGGCGGCCGGUGCGAUUCAGGAGAGGAACGUCACAGAUAAUUGGACGGCUAAGGCGCAGAAGAGAUCGUGCUCAGAUGAGCUGCUCGGGGAGUUCCAGGAAGUGCAGAAGACGAAGGUGAUGCUGCAGAGGAGCCUCGGGACGCUGAGCACCACAUCUGAAGAGCAGCAGAAAGUACAGAUGAGACUGUCCUUCACUUCUCCACAGCAAUUGUCCUCCACCUCUCUUAAAGACCACUUCUUCUCUCAGAGCACUCCGAUUGGACUGGACUGUCUCCACUGGCCACGCCCAGUUUCAUUCUCAGUAUUCGGUCUGUUUCUCUCUCUCUCUCUCUCUGUGUCUAAAUUUCUGUCUGUUUAUCUGCCUGUCUGUCUCUCUAUCUUACUAUCUGUCUGUCUGUCUGUCUGUAUAACUGUCUCUCUGUUUAUUUUGGCUGUCUAACAGUCUGUGUCUAACUGUAUAUCUGUUCUUUCUAUCUGUCUCACUGUUGCUCUGUCUAUCUGUCUUGAGUCAGUGUCUCUCUCUCUGUCUGAUUCUCUGUUGAUCUAGGCCUGUCAUUCUGUCCAUGUGUAAACACUUCUGUAGGCGUGUGUGUGUGUGUGUGUGUGUGUGUGUGUGUGUGUGUGUGUGUGUGUGUGUGUGUGUGUUAGUGAAUAUUGGAUGAAAUACAGGCUCCUUUGAGAAGAAACAAGAAGUCCAUUAUUGCUGUGUAACAUUUCUGUCCCACACCGUGACCUUUAUGGACGCAGCACAGUGAGCUGAUCCUUUCACAUCACUGUGCUAGCACCUGGCUAACACACAGCUAGCGCACGGCUAACACACAGCUAGCGCACGGCUAACACACAGCUAGCGCACGGUUAACACACGGCUAGCGCAUGGCUAACACACAGCUAGGGCACGGUUAAGACACAGCUAGCACACAGCUAACACACGUCACACUCGUCUCUUAGCUGUUCUCUGUGACUCCGAGUGUGUGUGGAAGAGUGAGGGAGAGUAAUUACUGAAGUGAAAGGAAGUGACACGCUCAUGUUUCUGUCUGCAGAGUCGUGUCUCGUCCGACCUUCAGAGCACACACUCGCGCAGCCGGCCGCUCUCGGUGAGUAAACGUUCUUUAAAUUGUGCGAUGGUACAGAGUUUAUCCAGCAGCUGCUGUUGGGGAAAUCACAGAGAGAGAAAACAGGAAAAGCGCUGUGACAUCAUCAUCACGCGACGAGUUUCUUUCUACGCUCACGUGAACUCUCAGACGUCCCUUGUCUCACGUCUCAGCAGUGUCAUAAUAUCAUGUUUUACUUUUUUAUUCUUCUCUUCUUUCAUGUUUUUGCUCAGUUUUGGUCAGUCACCUGUUUUUAAACUAAUUUAUAAAUGAUUUUUAGUGUUUUUUUCUGAUGCUCUUGCCUCAGGUUCUCAAAUAAACUCGAAAAAUAAUCAUUAUUAAAUUAACAGAGGAUUUUUAGGCCUUUUAAAGCUCCGCUCAGAGAAACUAAUUUUAACAUUUAAAAAAAUGACUGCUGUUUAGUAAUCUAAACAAAAAAAUCCUGUCAUUUAAAAGUGCCGAUUAUUUAAAGAGACACGCUCAUGUUAAGAGGGUCGGGACAGGUUUAUUUAACUAUAAUAAUAAUAAUGAGAUAAUUAGCUUCAUGGUUUCCUCCUGAAUGUUGAACACAAGUAAAUAAACCUUUUAAAUUAAUGUCUGAUAACUACAGUGGUGCUUGAAAGUUUGUGAACCCUUUGGAAUUUAAGAAAUUUCUGCAUAAAUGACGUAAAACAUCAUCAGAUUUUCACACAAGUCCUAAAAGAUGAUAAGGAGAACCCGAUUAAACAAACGAGAUGAAAAUAUUAUACUUGUUCAUUUAUUUAUUGAGGGAAAUGAUCCGAUAUCACAGAUCUGUGCGGAGUAAAAGUAUGUGCACCUUUCUUCAAACACAAUGCUUCUCAUUUAAACCAAAAAGUUCUCUUUUGGUCUAUUCAUCCAUCCACAGAAUAUUUUUCCAUCGGUCUUCCGUCUCGUCCGCGUGAUCGUUUUCAAACUGCAGAAGGACAGAAAUGUUCUUUUUGGAGAGCGGUGGUUUUCUCCUCGCAGCCCUGACAUGCACUCCAUUGGUGUUCAGUGUUCUCCUGAUGGUGGACUCAUGAACGUUAACAUUAGCCAGUGUGAGAGGAGUUCCCCUGGGUUCCUCUGUGACCUGGUGGACGAUUCCACGUCUGGCUCUUGGAGAGAUCUUCGUUGGUCUCCACUCCUGUGGAGGGGAACGAUGGUGGUGAAUUUCCUCCGUUUCUACACGAUCUGUCUGGCUGUGGAUGGGUGGAGUCCAAACUCUUUACAGAUGGUUCUGUGACAUUUUCCAUCCUGAUGAGCUUCGACAACUCUUUCCCUGAGGUCCUCGGAAAUCUCCUUCGCUCGUGCCGUGAUCCACUUCCGCAGACACGUGUCGUGAAGAUCAGACUCUGAUAGAUCCCUGUUCUUUAAAUAAAACAGGACGCUCGCUCGCUCGCUCACUCACACACACCUGAUCAUCAUCCCACUGACUGAAAACACCGGACUCCAAUCUCACCUUCACAUUAACUGAUAAUCCUAGAGGUGCACAUACUUUUACUCCUCACAGAUCUGUAAUACUGGAUCACUUUCCUCGAUAAAUAAAUGAACAAGUAUAAUAUUGUUGUUUAAUCGGGUUCUUUAUCUACUUUCAGGACUCGUGUGAAAAUCUGAUCAUGUUUUAGAUCAGAUUUAUGCAGAAAUGUCAAAUUCUUUCAAACAAACUUUCCAGCACCGCUGUACACGACUCUGUUCUUCUGUCUGUCUAAUUUAUCCAUCUGUCUGUCUGUUUUAUUUAUAUAUAUAUAUAUAUAUAGGAUGUAAAAGUCAUAAUUUUGUGGUGUACAGUAUGCGGCUUGAGUAAGUAAAUGAAUUUAAAUGAAUUACAAUGUUACAAUCGUAUUAUAAAGAGGAAUAAAAUGCUAAUAUUUGUUCUGUUUACAGGUUUAUGGUGUUUAUUUUUGGAGUUAGUGUCAGUUUUAUAGCGUUACAUUUGAUUGAAUCUUAAUUGGAAUAGUUUACUCGUUAAGCGUUAAUUAAAACCCGCGUGAGCUUCUGACGCUGUGAUAAAUGAGCAGAUGACGGGAUUCGCCCUGCGCUAGUGCGCGAGGUGUUCAGUGAGGCGUUGCAGAACCUCUUCAGCCCUGUAGGACGUGGGUUCCGAACCCUGCGUAGUGGAGACGUUCUGCAGGAAGCUCUUUGUCACUCCUGUACGAGUGCAGUGGGUGAUGUAUGAAUUGUUGACACUGCUUACAGAAACGGCUUUUUUCUCCAGGCACGUGUGCACGUGUGACUGUCUUCUACACGCUUAGACGUGCACUAGACGUGUUCAGGGAUGAACCUGUAGUGGAUAAAUAAGUGCACUCGGACGUGCGGGUUGAAUUCUCUCCUCGGUUUGAGUAACAGCACUGAAGGGGGUCAGUACGGGGGGACUGUGAUGCACGGAUGAAGACGGUCUUUUUUCAUCGCCAGCCAGUUCCCUUUCUAAUCAUUAAAAAUGUCUUCUUUUAUUUUAAUAAACGUGUGCGUAUCAUCUCUCAUUCAGUAUUCUAUAUUAAUAUUCAGGGUUGGCAAGUCGAGCUUGAACUUAAGCUUGUGUAAAUCGUGUGUCCGCGUCUCCUCAGUGGCUCCCUGUUGAUGCUGUGAGUGUGUGUGUGUGUGUGUGAGUGUGUGUGUGUGAAAGCGAGAGGGAGCCAGAGAGAGAGGGAGAGGCUCGAUCAUGUGUGUUUCAGUCUGUGAGCGAGUGUAGGAAGGAUGCAGGCGACAUCGUGAGUGUUUCUGACGCUUGAAAUUUACCAGUGGAGGUUGUGAUUCGCUCUCACAUACACACGCACGCACGCACACACACGCGCGCGCACACACACACACACACACACACACAUUUGUCUGGAGUCUGUACCAGCUUGAAGAGCAGCCGCCCUCCUCUUCUUCCUCGACUGUGUGUGUGUGUGUGUGUGUGUGUGUGUGUGUGUGUGUGUGUGGCCGAAUGCAGACACAGCAGCAGAUUUGGGAGUCAUUAGGGGGGUGAAAGCGAUACGAGGGGUCAUGUCUCAUUACUGGAGCCUAGAAAGUCUACACUCCACCAACGGUAAGCGUCCUUCUGUCUCUUCAACGCUGCUGUAGUGCGCACUACCUAGUGAUGUUCUGUCUCCCUGAGACGUCUCUCUGCGUUUUAUAGCGUGACAGGUGGACAGUGUCUUUAAAUACUGUAGUAUAGCCGGGGUUUAUUGGAAAUGGAGCAAAUCGGUGUGUGUGUGUGUGGGGGGGUGGGGGGUGGGGGGGGGGGUGGAAAUAAGAGAUUUAGGAACAUCACCUUGUUGCUCUCAGCUUAAAAAAAAAAAAAAAAAAAAAAAAAAAAAAACUUGAAAUCAUCUCUAUUAAAAAUCAAUCAAUAAAUAAUGGUUCAGUUGUUCGUGCAGUUUUACAGCGGAAACGUACAGCUGCGGGUUUUCUGAAACGAGUUCCAGUUUGUGUCUCCGCUUUGAGUCUCUUUAUUUCCCUCUUCCUAUAGAUUAUUAGAGUUUAGAUUAUAAACAUGAAGCACCACGGGGCACUAUGUUACAAAAUUAUAACCGUAAAGAUUCACUAAUGCUAAAAAGUUUUUCAAAUUAUGAGGUGAAAAUGUUUUUAAAAGUUACUAAUGUUAAAAAUGUAUCAAAUUAAAAUGUAAAAAAUAUAAAGUAAAAGAUAACAAUGUUACAAAAUGAUAAUGUACAAAAUAACUUACUCAUGUAAAAAUGUUACAAAAUUUGUGUUUAAAAGUAAAAAAAAAAAACGUCACAAGAUCACAAUGUUUAGAUUGCGUAAAAAGAAUUACUCGCAUUAUUCUUAGAAUUACUGAGAAUGUAGAAAUAAGUCAAAAGACUGUUACAAAAUGAUAAUGUUAAAAUGUUUUAAAAAAAUAUAAAGUGAAAAAUAUUAUAAUGUAAAAAAAAUUCUACUGCUGAAAGGUUGGUGUUGGAAAUGUACACGAUUACAAUGUGAAAAUGUUUCAAAAAUGAUAAAGUCACGAAAUCACAGAGUUAGAAACAAAGUUACACUACAGGAAGUCGUGAGAGGAAUCUGCAACAAUUCCGUGUCAAAUAUUUAGUGCACUCGAACAUCAACCCCAUCUCGUACCCUACAGGAGGAGUAGUGCACUAGAUCAUCUCAGAGUUCAGCUCUUCUGUGA